CGCCUUCGCUCACUUCCCAGCAGCUGCGGGCGUGCUUAGUUUCAAGACACCACGGGCUUUGGUAACGUGGUUGAACUCUGGCUCCAACAGCAGAGGCUUCUCUUGGAAAGGAGCCUGAAGCUGCCCCAGGCAAUAGGUCCACCCUGUUUCCAUUCAGCAAAAGCUGCGUUGGGACUACAAGGUUCGGUUUCAUCUGUGCCAGCGAGGAGCAUGGAGGUGGUUCUGCUUCUUCAGGAGGCAUCACGGAUUAAAGUCUGUUCUUCCAGGAUAAUGUCUAUCCACAUUUUCCAACGGCACGGUCAGAGGACAUUCCUCUGUUGGGAAAUCUGCAAACAAAAGGAAAAUUUGUCUUUUUAGCUUUGUUUCCUAGUGAAGAAUUUAUUACGGCUAAGGUUGCUCUUUCUGGAAAAUAUAAAAGCAUAACUGUGUCACUAGGAACUGCCUUACUUAAUCAGACCAAAGAUCUCCUAGCCCCAAGCUCUGCCGCCAGUUAGAGGAGCAGGAGGCACAAAGCACUGCAGCACUUCGCCAGCCCGCACCUCCAGCUGUGCCAAGCCACAUCCACAGCUGAGGGACGUGCUGAGCUCCAGACUGCAUCCGUGCCUUUGCAUUUCAGAACUCUGGACUCAAUUUUCAUUACAACCACCUUUUGGACACCUUUCUAGCUUUGGCCUCUAUAAUAUCCAACAACAGCAAGUUGCAGCUUGUUCUACACACUAUUAUUUUUUUUUUUUUUUGUCAGAAAGUUUAUUCCAGGUCAUAGUUUCUUUAAAGUCAUAUUGAUAUUUUCUAUUUUAUUCUCUAAUAUUUUCCCCUGGGCACUGGCAGGGCUGAUAAAUUAAAUUUGGUAUUGAUUUUUAAAUAUGCUUAAGAAGUUUCCUUAUCGAGUAGUUGGCCAGCAUUCUGCCUCCUAUAGGUUCUUCCAUAAUUAAAACCGUCUGUCUGGUCCAUCAUCUCAGAUAAAUUUGAAUUAUCUGGAAAAAAUACUUUUCCUAAAUUGACAGUGUUCUUUGCUGAAGGUGGUGUACAGAUUUGUAAAGGAUUUUUUUUGUUUGUUUUUAACUUAAUCCACGUAACCUAGCAACAUUUACACCAUCAAUAAACAAGUACUAUUUUGCUGAGGAAAAGAAUGCCCAACCCAUUGUUUUUCACUCUGUUGGUAGUAGUGGCAAUAUUCACAAUUCCCAGUGCACUGCACUUAGAGAGUCUUUUUCUUAUUUCAUAUUCCUUUUAGUCACACUUCAGCUCACCUGCUGAAGCUUUGUUCAGAAUAAUUACAAGAUACCGAAGAGAGAUAUCCAUGGAAAACGCUCGCCUUGAUUUUUCUGUUUAGUUUUUCUGUUGGU
This is a long non-coding RNA of Oxyura jamaicensis (ruddy duck), 1346 nucleotides long. RefSeq lists it as uncharacterized. The transcript has 3 exons. Lineage: Eukaryota; Metazoa; Chordata; Aves; Anseriformes; Anatidae. The record is from RefSeq and is a predicted model, not a curated record.